AUGGUGGAUGCUGGGCGCAUCCAUCCCCGGUUGAUUCUGCCCACAAGGCAGCCCGAGUCCGUCGACGCUUGGUCCCGCGCGGAACUCGUCGAUCCCCGCGCAAAGCCGGUGCUGGAGAGGAUGGACGCGGACCUGUGGCCGGGCAACAUGGCAACGGCGAAGCUGACCGGGGCAUCGCUCCUGAGGGAGUUCCUGGAGCACCGGGUGGCUCCGCUUCGAGAACAUUCGCCCCCGCUGUGGAGGCUCGGGGGGGCCGAUGCCGCCCUUGGCCCAAGCUCCGUGGUCCUGGCCGACAAAGAUCUGGCCGUAGUCCUCCAAUCCUUGGUUGGGGGAGACGUGGCAAGAUUGGAGGGGGCUCCUGUACCCCUGUUCCUUCGGGAUGAUUGGGAGCAGGUGGUGAACUCCAUGCCCGCUUUCGACGGGGACGGGCCCGUGCCCGCGGAGGUCCCUGAGGACCUGGCGGCCCUGGCGACGGUGAACGUAUCCUCCGGCGACUCCAGCAGAGAGGAGGAAGAAGAGGAGCAUGAAGAGGAGCCCGAUGCCGAGGCGACCGACGGGGAGUCGAGAGCACCCCUCCCUCAGCGCAGGUCCCGCGCUCUUCGCCUUAUGCCGGACGACGACGAGGAUGGCGACGAGCGAGGCGGCGAGAGCUCGCCCCUAAUCCCGAAGAAGGACAGGCCGGGGCUAGUUCUCCGCGGGUCCGCUCUGGCUCCGAGGCGAUCUGCAGACGCGCCUCCUACUCCCGAGUCUCUUGAGGUUGAUCCCAGCAGCCGGCUCUCGGGCUUCAAGUUCGGACGGAGGUUGCUUGAGCCCGUGGGCGAUGACCAGUAA
Molecule: ribosomal RNA, 831 nt
Filed under: Triticum aestivum (bread wheat)
Lineage: Eukaryota; Viridiplantae; Streptophyta; Magnoliopsida; Poales; Poaceae
Description: partial small subunit ribosomal RNA
Source: RNAcentral